GAAGUAGACGCAGGGGGAGGGAAACACUCCUAGAAUAACCCUGAGUAAGGGUGAGGGAAAAGAUGGGGCAAAGCUAGAAGUCGAUGUAGAGUCAAGGAGAGGUUUGUGCUUCCUUUCUCUAAGGUGUCUGUCCGUAUGCGUGGAACAUCAGCACUCAAACUGAGUUUUACUGACAGCAGUCUUAUUUUUGUAUUCCACGAUCCCUCUAAAUGUGUUUCAGGCUCCGGUCAUUUCUCUGGUUCCUCUUAUGUAAAAGAAGAUUCUGAAUCAUGUUAGGACCCGAUCUCAGUCUAAAUUUAGAAUGUCUGCCCCAAGAUUGUAACCAACACUCUGAGUCUGGUUUACAGUUCAGCCUUCUCUCCUCUCCCAGCUUCUCCCUUGCCAUGAUGGUGGUGGUGGUGGUGGGGGCUGGCAUGGUGCCCUUCUCUUCUCUCCCCCACCUAACCUUUCUUCUCAUUCCCUGACUGCUAAUGAAGGAGUCAGGGCCAGAGGGACAAGAGGUGAGGCUGGCUGUCUGGUAAGAUGGCUUUGCCCUGUCUGGGUCAGCAGGUGUGCAUACUAGACCCUCACCGGGCAUUUCCGUGGGUUCCCUGAAAGCUCACCUUCCAGUGGCAACUCUUCAUUGGCCUUGUGAAGCUGCUUCACCCUCAAACUUCACCUACCCACCCCGAGACUGCUCAAUCUCUUACUUACGGGGUCCUCUUUUCCAGGUAGACUUUUCCUGAGCAGGAUUCUUAAGUUUGGUCUCCAGGAGUGAACUCAGUCUUUAGAUCCAGUCUUCUGACAGCUGCCAGGGGGUGGUCUGACUUCCUCGGGCAUGCGUUAGGUCUCAGUCCCUCCAGCACCCCCAACUCCAGGGGACACACAUUAAUUUCUCCAAGUGGUUCUACGAAAGCUUUCUCACUAGGCUUCAGGAGAAGGCAGACACCCCCUUCAUCCUUCUGUCUUUGGGGGAUGAGACCCACAGCUUUAUACUGACUCUACCCUGAAAUCCUUGGAAUCCCCACUCCUCUGACUCUUUUUAUCCUCCGUGUGAGUGAGGGAAUUUAAAAGUCAAAAUACUGAUUCUUGGUUAUCCUACUUUGAGAUUUCGCAUUGGUUUAGCACAGUCUUUGAGAAAUACAGUCUUUAUUCUAUCUCAGUGCUUCAGUCCCAACUUCUAAUUUAACACCUUGUUACGUGCAAAUGGCGAUGAGCCAGCCCUAACACAGAAGGAGAAUCUGAGGACACGGGAGAGAGAGAGAGAGAGAGAGAGAGAGAGAGAGGCUGUUGGCUUUGGGGGCCAAAGUCUUGAUGGGGAAUUGGUCUAGAAGGAAAGGAAAACUUCUUUCCCAUGAGACAGGAGGGACAGGAGAGGGCAGUUCUUAGAUUAGAGGAAGUGGGCAAGGAAUUAACAAAGCUUCCAUUCAACAAUUUCUAUUUUCUCCAUGAAAUAGGAGGCCAGAGGUUUAUUGAAGGACAGUGAAGAGGAAAAACCAUGACUGAAUGGGUCUGAAUCAUUCGUAUGAGUCCCUCAGGACUUGUGAGGGAAUUUCCAGUCCAGCUAGAAGUUGUAACACCUACUGCAAUGGCACAGGCUGCCGACAGGGCAGAUGAGCCCCCCCAGCAUAUGGAUAAGUGGAGGUUAACACUCCCCCCGGCUGUCGCUGUCGGGAGAGGAAAGAUGACAGAGUACAUACACCAAAGAGAGUGCAUAUCACAGGACAAAGGAGCCCCAGAAAAGCCCAAAGAUAGCCAGCUUCCUGGUUUAGAAGGGAAACUUUUUAUCUUGGCAAAUAGACUCCAAGUUCAGGUUUGAAUGUCCUGAGUCAUAGAAGCCCCGGCUCUACACUAACCAGCACCCUGCUGAAUCCUACAGCUCGAAAGAGGAAGAUGAUGUGAAUGACAAGUCCUAAUGUGGUCCGCAAUUACCAGCCAGCUUUCGGGAACUGGUGGGAGGGCAGAAUGGAGUUCUUUGGGCUUGUUCAGACACCGAAUCCACAGGCUCAAAACCCCUGAUAAAACUCAAUUUUGUUCCAGAGGAGUGUGUUGGUGUCCGGGAUCAACAAUGAAACUUUCUGACGUCUCAAACACCUUUUAUCUCUGAUGAAUUAGGCAAGGCAAAAGCAGCUGAUGAAGUGGCCACAGUCCCCUAAGAGGAGGCCAAUGGGUGGAAUUCACAACAACCCCAGCCCUGAGGUUUGGAAGACAAACGACUUCUGUUUCAGACGAAUGGGAGUGUCAAGUUAUUCCAGCCCGAUGAGAUUACAGCUCAGAGGAUCACGAGGAAUCAAUUCCUCCAGAAGAGGAAAAAAACAGCUGGCACAGGAGCUCUGCAGGGCCUUUUGCUAAAGUGCUACAGGAUUACCUGGUUGUGUCUGUGGUUUCCAGCAUGUAGCUUUCAACUUUGACCAUCAAGAAUCAAAUGGAACAAAUGGUUUCAGAUGCAAUUCUCUUGAAUUCCAGGGGGCUGUGUAGUGACAUAGAAGUAUGAUGGAUUUUGUGUUAAUCAGAUCUUGGGCAUCCAUCUGUGAGCUUAACCUCUUUGAGUUCACCUCUAAGGUGGACAUUAUAAUGCGUACUCCAUAGGGUUGGUGUGAGUGUUAAAUACACGUGAAGUACCCAGUCUGUGUCUUCCCACCCCACCGCACCCUGUGUUUCUAGGUGUUAGUGUAAGACGUAAAUCCAGUGGUUUGACCACUCUGGUGUUCUUUUAUUUCCAUAACAUUGUGACUGUGAUAUAACAGCCAUGACUUCGGAGGUUCAUCUGGUUUGUCUCAUGACCUCCCACCCCUGCCAUAAUUACCUCCAUGCGGUCAUUAACGAAUAUAGUGAUUAGGAGAGAAUUACAGAUCAUUUUUAAAAAGCCUGGAAAGGUAAGUGGGGUAGACUAGAACCUGCCAGAAGAGGGUGUAAGACUUGAAAUUGCUGAGCACAGCAAUGGGAACCAUCCCUUCCCAGUGGGAGAAGGCUGACUGACAAAAUUUCUGUUCUUGAAUAAUUUACUGAAAGGAAAGGAGAGAGAGCAGGCUUGUUGUUUUUGGCAAUUCUAAACCCUGGAAAAAUAUGAAAGAGUUGGAUAUGGCCUUUGAUACAAUCCCAUCUCCUUUUUUUGUGUCCCCCCCUCCACCUUCAUUCGCCCACUCUGUGUGGCACCCCACCAGGCCUGGCCUCCUCAGUUCUUACAAAUUUACCUCUUCUUCCCUCAAAUUGAGUAUCCUUUUGGUGCCUGAUUAUCAGACCUGUUUCUCUGUACAGUGUUCUUUGUCAACUCUUCCAGGGGGGCUGCAUUUUAUAAGAAUUGCUUUGGGGUGCUUGGGUGGCUCAGUUGGUUAAGCCUCCGACUUUGGCUCAGGUCUUGAUCUCACGGUUCAUGGGGUUGAGCCCCGCAUCAGGCUCUGUGCUGACAGCUCAGAGCCUGGAGCCUGCUUCAGAUUCUCCCUCUCUCUCUACCCCUCCCCUGAUCAUGCCCUGUCUC
Acinonyx jubatus (cheetah) is the source of this 3457-nucleotide long non-coding RNA. RefSeq lists it as uncharacterized. The transcript is spliced from 3 exons. The record is from RefSeq and is a predicted model, not a curated record. NCBI's taxonomy places the organism in Eukaryota, Metazoa, Chordata, Mammalia, Carnivora, Felidae.